This 591-nucleotide long non-coding RNA is filed under the name Homo sapiens (human). Its description in RNAcentral is "non-protein coding lnc-PKM-1:4". The record is from RNAcentral. Lineage: Eukaryota; Metazoa; Chordata; Mammalia; Primates; Hominidae.
AUUCUUUGCUUGGGCCUCCUACCUCCCACCUGAGUUCCUCUUUGAUCAGUCAGCCACCCUGGGCUGAGUGCCUUGAGCAAACACUGGGUGCUGGCUGUAUGCUGGGGAUACAGAGAUGUACGGGACACGCCCUUGCUGGAGCUCAGAGUCAACUGGGGGACACAGAUGUGUAAACAGACAAGCACACUCUGGUGUGCAACCAACAAAUGCACAGAAAGACAGCUUCUCUGAACAGUCCUGUGUCCUGCAAAGAGAAACCAGACAGAGUUGAGGAGCCCCCGGACUACAGUGCCAUCCCCCUCUCCCAGUGUGGUAGCCUCAGCCAGGUCAGGUGAGUCUGUGCCAAGCUCCCCGCAGCAGAGCUCAGGCCACAGGAAGGAGGCGGCAGGGAGGGCAGUCCUGCUGGCAUCAUGGCCUGUGGCCAGGCCCCGGCGCUGUGAGUCUGACACCUUCACCUCACCCACACCCCAAACUGUCCCUAUUCCAGCACUGCCUGCUCCCCUGCUUACCCCUUGGCCAGAGAAAUGGGACAGGGUCUUUGACACCCAGGUGGGAAGCUCCUCAGCAUCUCUGGGAGACCAGGCGCACCUC